CGCCAGCAGCCGCGGUAAUACGUAGGGGGCAAGCGUUGUCCGGAAUCAUUGGGCGUAAAGCGCGUGUAGGCGGCUCGAUAAGUCUGCUGUGAAAGUCCAGGGCUCAACCCUGGGAUGCCGGUGGAUACUGUCGAGCUUGAGUCCGGAAGAGGAGUGUGGAAUUCCUGGUGUAGCGGUGAAAUGCGCAGAUAUCAGGAGGAACACCAAUGGCGAAGGCAGCACUCUGGGACGUGACUGACGCUGAGACGCGAAAGCGUGGGGAGCAAACAGGAUUAGAUACCCUGGUAGUCCACGCUGUAAACGAUGGGCACUAGGUGUGGGGGGUGUCGACUCCCUCCGUGCCGAAGCUAACGCAUUAAGUGCCCCGCCUGGGGAGUACGGCCGCAAGGCUAAAACUUAAAGGAAUUGGCGGGGG
RNAcentral lists this ribosomal RNA (415 nucleotides) under uncultured bacterium. RNAcentral describes it as "bacterial SSU rRNA". It matches the Rfam family "Bacterial small subunit ribosomal RNA", at positions 506 to 919 of the family's 1533-position model. The record is from RNAcentral.